Molecule: ribosomal RNA, 719 nt
Filed under: uncultured bacterium
Lineage: Bacteria
Description: bacterial SSU rRNA
Rfam family: Bacterial small subunit ribosomal RNA
Source: RNAcentral
AGUCGACGGACUCAUAUUGAAACCUAGUGAUUUAUGAGUUAGUGGCGUACGGGUGAGUAACGCGUGGAAAACCUGCCGUAUACCGGGGGAUAACACUUAGAAAUAGGUGCUAAUACCGCAUAAGCGCACAGCUUCGCAUGAAGCAGUGUGAAAAACUCCGGUGGUAUACGAUGGUUCCGCGUCUGAUUAGCUAGUUGGCGGGGUAACGGCCCACCAAGGCAGCGAUCAGUAGCCGGCCUGAGAGGGUGAACGGCCACAUUGGGACUGAGACACGGCCCAAACUCCUACGGGAGGCAGCAGUGGGGAAUAUUGCACAAUGGGGGAAACCCUGAUGCAGCGACGCCGCGUGAGUGAAGAAGUAUUUCGGUACGUAAAGCUCUAUCAGCAGGGAAGAAAAUGACGGUACCUGACUAAGAAGCCCCGGCUAACUACGUGCCAGCAGCCGCGGUAAUACGUAGGGGGCAAGCGUUAUCCGGAUUUACUGGGUGUAAAGGGAGCGUAGACGGCAGCGCAAGUCUGGAGUGAAAUGCCGGGGCUCAACCCCGGAACUGCUUUGGAAACUGUGCAGCUUGAGUGCGGGAGAGGUAAGUGGAAUUCCUAGUGUAGCGGUGAAAUGCGUAGAUAUUAGGAGGAACACCAGUGGCGAAGGCGGCUUACUGGACCGUAACUGACGUUGAGGCUCGAAAGCGUGGGGAGCAAACAGGAUUAGAUACUGGUAG